Molecule: ribosomal RNA, 429 nt
Filed under: Pseudomonadota bacterium
Lineage: Bacteria; Pseudomonadati; Pseudomonadota
Description: Proteobacteria bacterium partial 16S ribosomal RNA
Rfam family: Bacterial small subunit ribosomal RNA
Source: RNAcentral
UGGGGAAUAUUGGACAAUGGGCGAAAGCCUGAUCCAGCCAUGCCGCGUGUGUGAAGAAGGUCUUCGGAUUGUAAAGCACUUUAAGUUGGGAGGAAGGGCAGUAAGCGAAUACCUUGCUGUUUUGACGUUACCGACAGAAUAAGCACCGGCUAACUCUGUGCCAGCAGCCGCGGUAAUACAGAGGGUGCAAGCGUUAAUCGGAAUUACUGGGCGUAAAGCGCGCGUAGGUGGUUCGUUAAGUUGAAUGUGAAAGCCCCGGGCUCAACCUGGGAACUGCAUCCAAAACUGGCGAGCGAGAGUAGGGCAGAGGGUGGUGGAAUUUCCUGUGUAGCGGUGAAAUGCGUAGAUAUAGGAAGGAAGACCAGUGGCGAAGGCGACCACCUGGGCUCAUACUGACACUGAGGUGCGAAAGCGUGGGGAGCAAACAGG